This 494-nucleotide ribosomal RNA is filed under the name uncultured bacterium. Its description in RNAcentral is "bacterial SSU rRNA". It matches the Rfam family "Bacterial small subunit ribosomal RNA", at positions 899 to 1397 of the family's 1533-position model. The record is from RNAcentral.
ACUCAAAGGAAUAGACGGGGGCCCGCACAAGCAGUGGAGUAUGUGGUUUAAUUCGAAGCAACGCGAAGAACCUUACCAGGUCUUGACAUCCAUGUGAUCCUCAAGAGAUUGAGGAGUGCCCUUCGGGGAAAUAUGAGACAGGUGGUGCAUGGUUGUCGUCAGCUCGUGUCGUGAGAUGUUGGGUUAAGUCCCGCAACGAGCGCAACCCUUGCCAUUAGUUGCUACGCGAGAGCACUCUAAUGGGACCGCUACCGACAAGGUGGAGGAAGGUGGGGACGACGUCAAAUCAUCAUGCCCCUUAUGACCUGGGCUACACACGUACUACAAUGGCCGUUAACAGAGGGAAGCAAGACAGCGAUGUGGAGCAAACCCCCAAAAACGGUCUCAGUUCGGAUCGCAGGCUGCAACCCGCCUGCGUGAAGUCGGAAUUGCUAGUAAUCGCAGAUCAGCAUGCUGCGGUGAAUACGUUCCCGGGCCUUGUACACACCGCCCGU